UUAAAUAGCCGCAAUUUUAUGUGCUAAGGUAGCAUAAUCACUUGCCUUUUAAUUAAAGGCUAGAAUGAAAGGUUUUACAUUUUAAAUUCUGUAAUCUUACAAUUAUUUGAAAUUUUUAUAUAAAUAAAAACAUUUAUUUAAUUAGGGGGACGACAAGACCCUGCUGAACUUUACAUAUUGUUCUUCUGGGGUGGAAAAUAAACCAAAUCUUUUUUCCUCUUCUCAAAACAACAAAAACCUUUAACUUUAAACAAGUUACCACAGGGAUAACAGCACAAUUUUUUCUUAAAGAUCGUAUUAAAGAAAAAGUUUAUGACCUCGAUGUUGAAUUAUUUAUCUUUUAUUUUGAAGCAAAUAUCUAAAAAGAAAGUCUGUUCGACCUUUAAAUUUUUACAUGAUCUGAGUUCAAACCGG
Molecule: ribosomal RNA, 414 nt
Filed under: Titanidiops canariensis
Lineage: Eukaryota; Metazoa; Arthropoda; Arachnida; Araneae; Idiopidae
Description: partial 16S ribosomal RNA
Rfam family: Bacterial large subunit ribosomal RNA
Source: RNAcentral